UCCAUCACAAAAUAGUAUAAAAGCUAAUCAGAGAUGCUUUUCCCUUUUAGCCACCAAGAAUACCUGGUUCAGAUGUAGCUGGAGGACAAGUCUUGAUGCCACUGUAAAGCAUCUCAUGAUCAUGCCCUGCCAGUACCCUGGUGCCAGCCAAGCAGUAUAAAGUCCUUUUCUGUGCUCCAUCUGAAGAGAACAUCUCUGAACAGCUACCUCCUUGCUCGGCUACCUGAGCAGAGAAAGCCCCAUCUGUUGAUGCACUGGGAUUUUUUUUCUUUUUUUUUCCUGGGAAUCACAUUUGUGAGCUUUGUGGGAGGUUUGGAGUCUACUGCUCUCCCUCCAUACACUUACUGUUCGCUGCAAUUCCUGGGAGCGCUGUCCCUUAGCAGAGUGUUAAAGUCAAGGUGGGUUGUGAAGACAUGGAUGGAGGAAGCUGCGUCUUUCAAGUGGGAUCAUGUGCCUUGCCUUCUUGUGCAGCCCUUUGCUUCAUACCAGACUGAAAUCCUGCCUGCUGGCUGGUGGCCGCUGCAUGUAAAGAGUGUGCUGCUUUCAAGUUCUUUCUGAGCAAUGGACUUAUACCAGUGUUUGCUGCUAACUCCAGCCAGCCCUGUAGCCUUCAAGGUCACACAAAGUCAAGCUUAGCUGCAUGGCUAUUUGAUAUCCCCUAAAAUAAGUAGGUCAGAUGAGGCCUAUCACUUGUACUUAUUUUCCUCACUCUCCAAACAGGCACAACAGAAUCUGGAGUAUGUGACAAUCACACAGCAAGUGGGGGCAACUAUUGUUGUAAAAUUUGGAGCUGAGGGCUGCAAUCUGAGCAGAGAUGACACAACCGUGAAGCAGCAGGGAUUGAUGUUAGUGUAAAUUAAGCUCAUAAGACACUGAGAGCUAUGUGGAAUGUUUAGGUGAAGUUUACCGUAGAACACAUUUUAUUUCUGGUGCUAUAGAGAAAUCUUUACUCCAGCAGGACUCUGGUCUGGCCCUCUGACUGUUUCUGACCUCCUUCUGGGAUUUAAUUGGCUUAUGUUGCAGGGUGGGAUGCAAGGCCAUUUAACUGAACAGGCUCAGCCCAUAGCUGAGGAAUCUGGUCAAUGAAUAGCGAAUGGCUGAGAGGAAUUCUCUCCUGGAAUUAGUGCUAAUAACUGGCCCAGUGUGCCGGUGAGGACCUAUUGUGCUAAUUUCAUCACAUCAUUCACAAGCCGGGGUGUGUCUAUGAAAUUAAUGGAAAUGUAAUAUUUCUCUGACAACUUAAGCUGACUUUUGGCUUGCCUGACAAAACUGUCAGCCAAAGGUCCAGAUUUGGACACCUCAUCUGGCAACAGGUGCACCUAGAGACAGCAAGACUGGGGCAAAGGAUGUUGCUAAGAGCUUAGAUCUGCCCUAGUGUCUGACAAUGUUUCAGCCUCCUCGCUUGUAAGGAGGCCUGUGCUGAGGAGCAGCCAGGAGCAAGCAAGCCUAGUAGGAAUUUAGUGCUGGGUUUCUGAGGCCUGUGCCUGGGAAGGCUGCUUAAUGCUGAGAGUAAAUGGCUCACCAGUGAUGCAGACCAAAGGCUGAAAAAGUUCACAGC
This 1558-nucleotide long non-coding RNA is filed under the name Chelonoidis abingdonii (Abingdon island giant tortoise). Its description in RNAcentral is "lncRNA (ENSCABG00000003849.1)". The record is from RNAcentral. Lineage: Eukaryota; Metazoa; Chordata; Testudines; Testudinidae.